Non-coding RNA from Rhinolophus ferrumequinum (greater horseshoe bat), 74 nucleotides. The record is from the annotation of a RefSeq genome assembly. NCBI's taxonomy places the organism in Eukaryota, Metazoa, Chordata, Mammalia, Chiroptera, Rhinolophidae.
GGCCAGUUGGCUCAGUGGGUUAGAGUGUGGUGCUCAUAACACCAAGGUCGCCGGUUCGAUUCCCACAUGGGCCA